RNAcentral lists this unclassified non-coding RNA (222 nucleotides) under Hevea brasiliensis (rubber tree). The record is from RNAcentral. Lineage: Eukaryota; Viridiplantae; Streptophyta; Magnoliopsida; Malpighiales; Euphorbiaceae.
GUGAAUCUGUUGGUGGGCGAGAUUACGGUAAUGGAAUUAUUAGCUCAACCAACCAGGGUCUCAAGACUGAUGGGUUUGAGCUCAGGGGCCAGUCAUGGUAUGUGGCAAGUGAUAUUCCUAGUGAUCUUUCAGUUCAGAUUGGAGAUGUAAAUUUCCACUUGCAUAAGUAUCCGCUGCUUUCUCGGAGUGGAAAGAUGAAUAGACUAAUAUAUGAAUCACGCG